UCCCAGGUGACUCAGUGGUAAAGAACCUGCCUGCAGCGCAGGAGACUCAGGUUCAAUCCCUGGGUCAGGAA
Molecule: transfer RNA, 71 nt
Filed under: Ovis aries (sheep)
Lineage: Eukaryota; Metazoa; Chordata; Mammalia; Artiodactyla; Bovidae
Rfam family: tRNA
About the family: Transfer RNA (tRNA) molecules are approximately 80 nucleotides in length. Their secondary structure includes four short double-helical elements and three loops (D, anti-codon, and T loops). Further hydrogen bonds mediate the characteristic L-shaped molecular structure. tRNAs have two regions of fundamental functional importance: the anti-codon, which is responsible for specific mRNA codon recognition, and the 3' end, to which the tRNAs corresponding amino acid is attached (by aminoacyl-tRNA synthetases). tRNAs cope with the degeneracy of the genetic code in two manners: having more than one tRNA (with a specific anti-codon) for a particular amino acid; and 'wobble' base-pairing, i.e. permitting non-standard base-pairing at the 3rd anti-codon position.
Source: Rfam by way of RNAcentral